Molecule: ribosomal RNA, 488 nt
Filed under: Saccharomycetales sp. IP
Lineage: Eukaryota; Fungi; Ascomycota; Saccharomycetes; Saccharomycetales
Description: LSU rRNA
Rfam family: Eukaryotic large subunit ribosomal RNA
Source: RNAcentral
CGAGUGAAGCGGCAAUAACUCAAAUUUGAAAUCUGGCACCUUCGGUGUCCCAUUUGUAAUUUCAAGAAGGUAUCUUUGCUUUUGGCUCUUGUCUAUGUUCCUUGGAACAGGACGUCACAAAGGGUGAAAAUCCCGUGCGAUGAGAUGCCCAAUUCCAUGUAAAGUUCCUUCCACGAGUCGAGUUGUUUGGGAAUGCAGCUCUAAGUGGGUGGUAAAUUCCAUCUAAAGCUAAAUAUUGGCGAGAGACCGAUAGCGAACAAGUACUGUGAAGGAAAGAUGAAAAGAACUUUGAAAAGAGAGUGAAAAAGUACGUGAAAUUGUUGAAAGGGAAGGGCUUGAGAUUAGACUUGGAAUUUUCCGAUUUAUUGGAGCUUUCCGGGCCAGCAUCAGUUUGGAUGGCAGGAUAAUUGCGUAUGAAAGUAGCACAUUGUGUAUUAUAGCCUAUGUCGAUACUGCCUGUCUAGACUGAGGACCCGUCUUUGACUAGG